AUACGGAGGGUGCUAGCGUUGUUCGGAAUUACUGGGCGUAAAGGGCGCGUAGGCGGCCGUUUGCGUCGGAUGUGAAAGCCCGGGGCUCAACCUCGGAACGGCAUUCGAUACGGGACGGCUGGAGACCGGGAGAGGAGAGUGGAAUAGCCAGUGUAGAGGUGAAAUUCGUAGAUAUUGGCUGGAACACCGGUGGCGAAAGCGGCUCUCUGGCCCGGUUCUGACGCUGAGGCGCGAAAGCGUGGGGAGCAAACAGGA
This 255-nucleotide ribosomal RNA is filed under the name uncultured prokaryote. RNAcentral describes it as "partial 16S ribosomal RNA". It matches the Rfam family "Bacterial small subunit ribosomal RNA", at positions 523 to 777 of the family's 1533-position model. The record is from RNAcentral.